This 468-nucleotide ribosomal RNA is filed under the name uncultured bacterium. RNAcentral's name for it is "partial 16S ribosomal RNA". It matches the Rfam family "Bacterial small subunit ribosomal RNA", at positions 28 to 507 of the family's 1533-position model. The record is from RNAcentral.
GACGAACGCUGGCGGCGUGCUUAACACAUGCAAGUCGAACGGAAAGGCCCUGCUUUUGUGGGGUGCUCGAGUGGCGAACGGGUGAGUAACACGUGAGUAACCUGCCCUUGACUUUGGGAUAACUUCAGGAAACUGGGGCUAAUACCGGAUAGGAGCUCCUGCUGCAUGGUGGGGGUUGGAAAGUUUCGGCGGUUGGGGAUGGACUCGCGGCUUAUCAGCUUGUUGGUGGGGUAGUGGCUUACCAAGGCUUUGACGGGUAGCCGGCCUGAGAGGGUGACCGGCCACAUUGGGACUGCGAUACGGACCAGACUCCUACGGGAGGCAGCGGUGGGGAAUAUUGCACAAUGGGCGGAAGCCUGAUGCAACAACGCCGCGUGCGGGAAGACGGCCUUCGGGGUGUAAACCGCUUUCGCCUGUGACGAAGAGUGAGUGACGGUAAUGGGUAAAGAAGCACCGGCUAACUACGUG